Molecule: non-coding RNA, 556 nt
Organism: Macaca mulatta (Rhesus monkey)
Lineage: Eukaryota; Metazoa; Chordata; Mammalia; Primates; Cercopithecidae
Source: RefSeq, a predicted model, not a curated record
CCGAGUGUGUCACUGUGUGGUUUUGUGACCUAAGCCUCAGUCAUCAAGAGGGGCUGGCCCAGCUUUGAUCUCCCAGGACCUAUGACUCUGUAGGGAUACACUCUCACCUUGACAAAAAGCAAGGCUUUUAAAGGAAGAAACCUCUCCCCUGCCUCUCUGCUUCUCUGUCUUAGUGUGUUUCGCUGAGCUAUCUGGUUGAUCUAUAAAAAGAUGUUAUUACUUUGGACCUAGCAAGUACAGGUGUGCAAGAGUAGUGGGAGGGAGGCGCACACAGCACUUGGUCUGAGAAUGACACUCCACAGCCCACUCUGCAUCAUCCCUCAGCUCAGAACAUAUUCGUGAUCUCCAUGGACAAACAACGACAUUGUUAAGCCCAGAUACGAAGAUGCAUCCAGAAUCAGAUAAGCCCAGCACAGCAGAAGAGAGUGAAAGCAAACAUCGCUCACCAGUAAGGAAUGAUCAUUUCCUGCCCUCCCUCACUUAAGGCACAGUUCUUCAGAGUCCUAGUCUGUGGGUACUUGGGCAUGGGGAAGGAAAAAGAAUCGAGUCUCCUCUC